GGAACGUGCCACAUCAGCAAACGACCGUCGGAGAAAUUGUUUAUAUUUCUCCCUUGCAAGAUUGAAAAUUCUCGUCUCAAUCCGGCGUCACUCUCCUCCGAAUCUUGGAAUCGAUGCUAAAAUUUUGUAGCUAGGGUUUGGAGAGAUCUUCAAAGAGAGUGGCAUGUUGGUUUCUGAUAGAGAGCUUGAGGAAGCUGGAAGAAAGCUUCUUGACCCACCUUCUUCUGUCGAUGAGAUUCUUUCUCUUCUCGACAAAGUUGAACACCUUAUGUCAACGAUUGAACAGUCACCUCCUUGCCCAACAAUGUGGAAACUGUAUCCGUUGAUAGGAGCAUUGGUCGGUCCUAAACACUUCCAACAUUCGGAUGCUGAUGUCAAAGUUGCAGUCGCGGCUUCCAUCAGUCGGAUUACGUUCAUAACUGCUCCAGAUCUUACCUAUGAUGAUGACCAGAUGAAAGAAGUAUUCCAGUUAAUUGUAUCAUAAUCUGAACAUCGAUCUGACAUAUAUGGUCGAUCCUACGCCAAGAGGAUAUCCAUCCUUGAAACUGUGUAUGAUGUCAAAUUAAGCAAGAGUGAUGCACUUCUUAUUGAGAUGUUCCAGCAUUUACUCAACGGUAUAAGGUACAAGCUAAUAUUUCCUUCCAACUAGAAUUGAAGUUCCAAUUUAGAAGCAACAGUUUAAUGGAUGUUGGCAUGUUGUUGUGUCCUUAUCUAACUGCAAGAUUUGUCUAACUGCAUACAUGUUAUGGUCUAUCUUCCUUAUCAAUCUUCAAUCGUUUUUCCUUCAGAUUUGUUCUGCUAAAUUCAUGGAUGUUGGCAUGUUGUUGUUACCACUUUGCGCAUUAGAUUGAACUACAUGGUGACCGUUGAUGUCAGACACUUGGUUUUAGUUUUGUUGACCUAUCUUCAAGCUUCUCAUUUAGAAUCAUUCUCCUACUCGCACUUCUGCCUCUCCAUAGACUUUAUCAUGUGCUACUUAGUUUUAUUUGUUCGUAGUGUAGUUUCACAACUGGUCUUUUGAGUGUUGCUUACGUUUGUUAUACAACAUCCAUCAAUGUACGUUUGAAUGAUGAUGAAUGUAUAUUUCCUUUUCAAAGACCAUCAUUCUGGGAAAGUGUUUUCAUCUAUGGAGAACAUUAUGACCCUUGUUGUAGAAGAAAGUGAGGAUAUACUUCCAGAGUUGCUUUCACCAAUUCUACAUUACGUUAAAAAGGAUGAUAAGAUUCCCCAAGUAUCACGGAAGUUGGCAAGCUCAAAACAUAGCUGGCUGACGCAGUGAAAUCAUUGGGCAUCUCUUUAGAUAAGUAUAGUAAGGUAGUGGCUUCAAUAUGUGAAGGAAGCAUUGAGUGCUUUGAAGCAGAACGAAGUUGCUGCUAAUAAAAAAGAACAGGAUAUAGACAGACGGCAAGAAAAGUUACUACUCAGUGAGUGAAGUUGUGUACCUAAGAGGAGACUGAACCUGGAGCAUUGGUUAAGUUCACUUCCUCAUGAUUCAUCUGUAAAUGUAGCUAUUUCUUCUAUAAAUGAGAAAGGACGUGAGACUGUGCCCCCAAGACGUGAAACAGUAGCUGAAGCAGGAGUACAAACUGAGGAAAGGAGAAGUCGUGAGUUAGUUAAAGAAGAGGAUACGGCAUAAACUAAGACUUGGACACACAAGCGACCUCAAGUCGAAAGCUGCAGCCUUCACAAAGCUCAUGGCGAGAUGGAGAAGACAAUUGCAGAAGGAGAAGUCUCUUGCUGCACCCGGAGACAUGCGCAAGAAACCACCUCAACCUUGCUCUGUCAAACAUUAGUUGGCUAAGGUGAAACAGAGCCUUGUAGACACUAUACCCAGUGUACGACAGUUUCGGUAUGAACAGAUCAUUAUAGACAGUGUACGGCAGUUUCAGUCUGAGAUCAAGAAAAAGGAAGAUAAUCUAGAAGUUUUGCUGCAGGAAAUUGACGUCUUAGGUGUGUGAUCUGGAUGUUGAUGAACACUUGUCUUUUGUUUUGCGGUUUAGUUUGGUUCUAGGUCUCUGAUAAUGUGAUGUGAAAACGAACAAGGGAGAAGAUAUCCGGAAUCAACAAAUUCUUUCACUCAUAAUAAAGUGUGAAAGUAAGACCGAAGAUCAGGGAUUGGACCGGAGAAUUUUGCUAACUCUUUUUCGUAUUAUGAACUUGUUCAACUAUGCGCUUACCAAAAAAAAAAAAAAACUUGUUCAACUAUGCAGUGAAGUAGUUGACCAGAGAGAACUCAUUUUUUAUAGCAUUAUCUCAUUCAAGUCU
Arabidopsis lyrata subsp. lyrata is the source of this 2265-nucleotide RNA transcript. RefSeq lists it as uncharacterized. The record is from RefSeq and is a predicted model, not a curated record. Lineage: Eukaryota; Viridiplantae; Streptophyta; Magnoliopsida; Brassicales; Brassicaceae. The transcript is spliced from 5 exons.